This is a long non-coding RNA of Alexandromys fortis (reed vole), 210 nucleotides long. RefSeq lists it as uncharacterized. NCBI's taxonomy places the organism in Eukaryota, Metazoa, Chordata, Mammalia, Rodentia, Cricetidae. The record is from RefSeq and is a predicted model, not a curated record. The transcript has 3 exons.
CUUACACAGUGACAGACGAACGGCUCGGCUGAUAUUCUAUAUAGCCUCCCGAGGCCGCAAAGCUUUUGGUGAAUGUCCCCAUGUAUACGUCCACAUCUUCAGGGGCCAGUCCAAAGAAGUCUCUGACACCUUGGCCAUUGGGGCCCGUAGCACCAAUACUGUGAGCUUCAUCGAUGUAGAGGGUCUGCUGCUGGGAGAAAUGAACCAAGA